AGUGAACGCUGGCGGCAGGCCUAACACAUGCAAGUCGAACGGCCGCACAGUAAGAGCUUGCUCUUACGGGUGGCGAGUGGCGGACGGGUGAGGAAUACAUCGGAAUCUACUUUUUCGUGGGGGAUAACGUAGGGAAACUUACGCUAAUACCGCAUACGACCUACGGGUGAAAGCAGGGGUUCUUCGGACCUUGCGCGAUUGAAUGAGCCGAUGUCGGAUUAGCUAGUUGGCGGGGUAAAGGCCCACCAAGGCGACGAUCCGUAUCUGGUCUGAGAGGAUGAUCAGCCACACUGGAACUGAGACACGGUCCAGACUCCUACGGGAGGCAGCAGUGGGGAAUAUUGGACAAUGGGCGCAAGCCUGAUCCAGCCAUACCGCGUGGGUGAAGAAGGCCUUCGGGUUGUAAAGCCCUUUUGUUGGGAAAGAAAAGCAGCAGGUUAAUACCCCGCUGUUCUGACGGUACCCAAAGAAUAAGCACCGGCUAACUUCGUG
Molecule: ribosomal RNA, 492 nt
Filed under: uncultured bacterium
Lineage: Bacteria
Description: partial 16S ribosomal RNA
Rfam family: Bacterial small subunit ribosomal RNA
Source: RNAcentral